RNAcentral lists this ribosomal RNA (301 nucleotides) under uncultured bacterium. Its description in RNAcentral is "partial 16S ribosomal RNA". It matches the Rfam family "Bacterial small subunit ribosomal RNA", at positions 509 to 809 of the family's 1533-position model. The record is from RNAcentral.
CAGUAGCCGCGGUAAUACGUAAGGUGCAAGCGUUAAUCGGAAUUACUGGGCGUAAAGCGUGCGCAGGCGGUUUUGUAAGUCUGUCGUGAAAUCCCCGGGCUCAACCUGGGAAUGGCGAUGGAGACUGCAAGGCUAGAAUCUGGCAGAGGGUGGUAGAAUUCCACGUGUAGCAGUGAAAUGCGUAGAUAUGUGGAGGAACACCGAUGGCGAAGGCAGCCCCCUGGGCUAAGACUGACGCUCAUGCACGAAAGCGUGGGGAGCAAACAGGAUUAGAUACCCGGGUAGUCCCUGUCUCUUAUAA